This 912-nucleotide ribosomal RNA is filed under the name uncultured archaeon. RNAcentral's name for it is "bacterial SSU rRNA". It matches the Rfam family "Archaeal small subunit ribosomal RNA", at positions 1 to 922 of the family's 1478-position model. The record is from RNAcentral.
UUCCGGUUGAUCCUGCCGGAGGUUAUUGCUAUCAGGGUUUGACUAAGCCAUGCGAGUCGAGAGGUGUAAGACCUCGGCAUACUGCUCAGUAACACAUGGAUAAUCUGCCCUUAGGUGGAGGAUAUCCCCGGGAAACUGGGACUAAUACUCCAUAGUGGAUAUAUGCUGGAAUGCUGUAUCCUCGAAAGAUUAAUCGCCUAAGGAUGAGUCUGUGCCCGAUUAGGUUGUUGGCGGGGUAACGGCCCACCAAGCCAUUGAUCGGUACGGGUUGUGGGAGCAAGAUCCCGGAGAUGGAUUCUGAGACAUGAAUCCAGGCCCUACGGGGCGCAGCAGGCGCGCAAACUUUACAAUGCGAGCAAUCGUGAUAAGGAAACCCUGAGUGCCUGUCGAUGCAGGCUGUUCAUAUAUCUAAAUCAUAUGUGAAGAAAGGGCAGGGCAAGACCGGUGCCAGCCGCCGCGGUAAUACCGGCUGCUCGAGUGAUAACCACUAUUACUGGGUUUAAAGCGUCCGUAGCUUGAUUGUUAGGUCUCUUGGGAAAUCUUCACGCUCAACGUGAAGGCGUCUAAGAGAUACCGGCAAUCUUGGAACUGGGAGAGGUAAACCGUACUUCGGGGGUAGGAGUGAAAUCUUGUAAUCCUCGAGGGACGACCUAUGGCGAAGGCAGUUUACCAGAACAGCUUCGACAGUGAGGGACGAAAGCUGGGGGAGCAAACGGGAUUAGAUACCCCGGUAGUCCCAGCCGUAAACAAUGUGCGUUAGGUCUGUCGGUAACCACGUGUUACUGAUGAGCCGAAGAGAAAUCGUGAAACGCACCACCUGGGAAGUACGGUCGCAAGGCUGAAACUUAAAGGAAUUGGCGGGGGAGCACCACAACAGGUGGAGCCUGCGGUUUAAUUGGAGUCAACGCCGGA